RNAcentral lists this non-coding RNA (27 nucleotides) under Bombyx mori (domestic silkworm). Lineage: Eukaryota; Metazoa; Arthropoda; Insecta; Lepidoptera; Bombycidae. The record is from RNAcentral.
UCAUGCAAACAGCCGCCAACUGCCGAC